This 463-nucleotide ribosomal RNA is filed under the name uncultured bacterium. RNAcentral's name for it is "bacterial SSU rRNA". It matches the Rfam family "Bacterial small subunit ribosomal RNA", at positions 415 to 871 of the family's 1533-position model. The record is from RNAcentral.
CCUUCGGGUUGUAAAGCUCUUUUAGCCGGGAAGAAAAGGCUUGGGCUAAUACCCUGAGUUUUUGACGGUACCGGCGGAAUAAGCACCGGCUAACUACGUGCCAGCAGCCGCGGUAAUACGUAGGGUGCGAGCGUUAAUCGGAAUUACUGGGCGUAAAGCGUGCGCCGGCGGUUCGUUGUGUCGGUGGUGAAAGCCCCGGGCUUAACCUGGGAAUGGCCAUGGAAACUGGCGAACUGGAGUGUGGCAGAGGGGGGUGGAAUUUCGCGUGUAGCAGUGAAAUGCGUAGAGAUGCGGAGGAACACCGAUGGCGAAGGCAGCCCCCUGGGCUAGCACUGACGCUCAGGCACGAAAGCGUGGGGAGCAAACAGGAUUAGAUACCCUGGUAGUCCACGCCCUAAACUAUGUCAACUGGGUGUUCGGGAAGCGAUUUCUGAGUACCGUAGCUAACGCGUGAAGUUGACCA